Molecule: ribosomal RNA, 405 nt
Filed under: uncultured bacterium
Lineage: Bacteria
Description: partial 16S ribosomal RNA
Rfam family: Bacterial small subunit ribosomal RNA
Source: RNAcentral
GACGAACGCUGGCGGCGUGCUUAACACAUGCAAGUCGAGCGGAGCGGCGAACGGGUGAGUAACGGGUGAGUAACUGCCCCCCGCUCUGGGAUAACAGUUGGAAACGGGUGCUAAUACCGGAUAGCGGGGGAUGGCUCGCGUCCUAUCAGCUUGUUGGUGGGGUAGUGGCCUACCGAGGCGACGACGGGUAGCCGGCCUGGGAGGGGGACCGGCCACAUGGGGCUGAGAUACGGCGCAAACUCCUACAGGGGGCAGCGGGGGGGAAUAUUGCACAAUGGGGGAGACCGUGAUGAAGAAGCGCCGCGGGCGGAAUGAUGGCCUUCGGGUUGUAAACCGCUUUCAGCCAUGACGCGGUAGUGGCAGAAGAAGCACCGGCUAACUACGUGCCAGCAGCCGCGGUAAUUC